CUAACAGGAUUCCCCUAGUAACUGCGAGUGAAGCGGGAAAAGCUCAAAUUUAAAAUCUGGUGGUCUUUGGCCAUCCGAGUUGUAAUUUAGAGAAGCGUCUUCCGCGCUGGGCCGUGCACAAGUCUCCUGGAAUGGAGCCUCACAGAGGGUGAGAAUCCCGUCUUUGGCAUGGACACACCAGGGCUUUUGUGAUGCGCUCUCGAAGAGUCGAGUUGUUUGGGAAUGCAGCUCAAAAUGGGUGGUGAACUCCAUCUAAAGCUAAAUAUUGGCGAGAGACCGAUAGCGAACAAGUACCGUGAGGGAAAGAUGAAAAGCACUUUGGAAAGAGAGUGAAACAGUACGUGAAAUUGUUGAAAGGGAAACGCUUGAAGUCAGUCGCGUCGACCGAGACUCAGCCUUGCCUUGGCUUGGUGUAAUUCUCGGCUGACGGGUCAGCAUCAAUUUUGCCCCUUGGAUAAUGAUGAGGGAAAUGUGACACCUUUAUGGUGUGUUAUAGUCUCUUGUCGCAUGCAAGGGUUGGGAUUGAGGAACUCAGCACGCACCUUUGGGUGUCGGGGUUUU
Molecule: ribosomal RNA, 561 nt
Filed under: Russula sp. SNZ-2018a
Lineage: Eukaryota; Fungi; Basidiomycota; Agaricomycetes; Russulales; Russulaceae
Description: partial large subunit ribosomal RNA
Rfam family: Eukaryotic large subunit ribosomal RNA
Source: RNAcentral